UACGCACAGUUUGUAGUGCUGCUUCAUUAUGAUAUCAAUACUUGUAUCUACAUAGAUUUAUUAAGUCAUUCUUUUGUAUUAAACAAUGUCAGUCAAAUGCUUUUAAUAUGUCCAGUUAUUGUGUAAAGUUCAUUAGAAUUCAGUCGAUGUAAUUCGUGAUGGUACCUACAGCGGUCAUGGUAAUUUAAUGUCGCCAACAUCCAUAGGACCAUGGGGUCCUAAUACAGUACCAGUACUAUCUUUUGUAUUAGUAUUGAACUCUAUACUAUGGGCGAGCGCACUUGCAGAAAACAGCAAAUUUUAUCAUAUGCAAUCACUAUGUAAAAAUCACUUUUUGCAACAACUAUAUCGGAAAAUAGAUGGCGCUGUUCUUUUAUCUCAAAAUGAACGCAAUUUAGAUUGCGUAAUAACAUUCCAAACACACUCUGUGUUGCAACGAUUUAUGCUAAGAUUUGAUAUUCUACAACUUGACUGUAAUGACCAUUUAUAUAUAUACGAUGGAGCACAUGCUGGAGGUUUGCAUAAGGCGGAUAUUACGUGCCGAAAUACAAAAGAAUCUGUUGGUAUAAUUUUUCCUCGAAGCAACCUCGUGACAUUGAAAUAUGUCACGGACGGUUGGGGCACAGACAGCAAUGGAUUCAAAUUAGUAAUAACAGCUCUCAAAGAACCAAAACACGCAUGUAAAGACUUUCGUUGUAACACACGUGAAUUCUGCAUUCAUAAGGAUUUAGUUUGUGACGGUGUUGACCAUUGUGGUGAUGGAUCUGAUGAAGCCAGUAAUACAAUAUGUCAGAAUGAUACAAAGUCGCAAAUUUUUGGAAUGGAUAUGACCUGGUUCACAGUGACUUUGCUCAGUUUAUUACUUGUACUAAGUGCAUGUGCAGUAUCCAUUAUUAUUUGUUACUGCAGAAAAAAACAUAGAAAACUGCACCAUAGCAUCAACAAUCAAAUUCAAUUGCAACAGGUAUAUGACUUGAAUGGGGAAAUGAAGCCUUCUAUGCCGCACGGUACAACAUUAUUACAUCAGAUAGAAAAAAGACAUUGCACCGUGGAUCAUGUGAAUGCUACCGAUUCGGAAAACUGGACACGCCCUGCGACCAAGGGGUACUGCACGCCAUCAACGACCACCACGAAGGGGUGUCAUGCGUCGGCACGGAUGGCUCAACGGCAAACUCUCGCUUGCUGUCGAGCACUGUAAGAUCGACACCGGUCGUUCUCCUCAGCACGGACGGCGGACGAGCUCGUCAAUGUAAUGACGUAGCAGCGGACGCUGCAGUCCAGAUACAAACAGCGACGGAGGAUGCCAGUCAUCCCGGCCAAAAGGACGAAUGGUUCGUCUAACAAGUAGGAUCAAACAUUGGUCGCAGGGCGAUGCUCAUGAAUUGGAAAUCUCGCUACCUAUGACAAUUCCAUGAAUGAAAAUCAGUUGCACAUUUUAUUCAUAAAUAAAUAUAGAUAAACAAUAAAUAAAACGAUUUAAAUUAGU
Ctenocephalides felis (cat flea) is the source of this 1486-nucleotide RNA transcript. RefSeq lists it as uncharacterized. Lineage: Eukaryota; Metazoa; Arthropoda; Insecta; Siphonaptera; Pulicidae. The record is from RefSeq and is a predicted model, not a curated record. The transcript is spliced from 8 exons.